Molecule: long non-coding RNA, 3516 nt
Organism: Rhododendron vialii
Lineage: Eukaryota; Viridiplantae; Streptophyta; Magnoliopsida; Ericales; Ericaceae
Exons: 2
Source: RefSeq, a predicted model, not a curated record
UGGCCCGGAAAAGAAAAGAAAUAUAGGUGGGGGAAAAUUAUCCCCUACACACACCUUCACUAAUACACCCAUGCAUAUUACACUUACAUCCCGAACUUCUAAAUUCUAGCACAUUCGACAUCCGAACUCAUUCUCUAUUUUAUAUUACAACUCAUGCCUUCAUAAAACAUAAAGAAUUAUAUGAAAAUAAAAUACGGGUCUCUACAUCCUACCCUCCUUAAAGAAAUUUCGUCCUCGAAAUUUGAUAACCCACAUCAACUAAUUCAUGCAACAAUUUAGAUAUGUAACAACACACCAGGCAAGAGAACACAACGAAUCUACCACCUCGGAAUCCAGAUUCAAGAAACUUAUAUCAAUCACGACGACGAUAAGUCCAAAUACUUCUUUCUAUUUCAUCUUUUCUCGUUUCAUUUCUUUUGCAAUUUAAAAUUCUCACAUUACAAUAACCUCAUCACAUCCCCAUAUAUCCACUCUUUCCUUUCAAGGCACAACUUUUCAUUUCAACAUUUUCUUCCACGUAGAAUCGUCAUGAGACUAAAAUCAACCACCAAUUCAUACUAGAGUUCUAGUUAAUCAAACGAUAUCAUCAAAUCACAUUCUAACAUCACUUAACAUCAAGGCUAUACGUACCAACUUAAUCUCAUGAAAGUAAUAGAAAGCAUUUUAAUUUCAAAUGUGUUUGACCAUUUUACUUCACUCUCACGUAUUCAUAGAAGACAAAGUGAAGUCACUUAAACAUGCAUGCUUGUCACAACCUCUUUCUCCUCGGUUAAUGAUCUCAGCGGAUCACUCUCGGGAAUUCAUAUUUUUCUUGGAAUCUAAUUGAAGAAUUCUUAUAGUAAUCAUGUAACAAAUCUUCGAGAAGAUAUCUUGAAACAUCUACGUGUAAAACAUCGUGUAUAUAGGGCAGUUCUAGUGACAAAGCUAACUAGAAACUAACAUCUUUAAUACUUCUUAUCAUUCCAAAGAAGCGCUAUUCCGAUACUAGCUGAAAAUUAUAAAAGGUAUAAAACUCGACACUAAAGCAAGUGUCCACCAACUUCCAUUGAAAUCUAAAAUAGAAACACAAAACAUGUCCUCCAAACUAUGGAUCCCUAUCUUGUAAAUCUACAAUACCCCACUCCAGAAAGGUUAACACAUUCUGUCUAAAUGAAAAUUAUCAUUCUUGUUAAGGUUUUCUCUACUAAUACAAGACAAGUCAACUAAGUAGAUUACAGUCAGCUUUUAAAACAAACAUACAUAAGAAGCUACACUAGAUGAGUUAUGCGUCCAAACGAGUCUGUAUGCUACGAAUUCCAUUUCAAAGAUAUACCCCAACCUUUACAAAACCAACAAGAACACAAGCAGGAAGCCCCCUUCUCAAUCGGAGGUGGAGAAUAUUGCAAAUAUACUGUAUGAACAUGUCUAAAAUUUGUUCCCAAUUCUUAUUCUCUAUCCCUAAUAGAGAACCAAAUGCAACCAAUGCAAUAAGAUUAAAGGAUAAUAUGCCUCAAUACUCCAAAAAUGACUCAAAGUGAUUAGAUGCAAGAAUUUCCAAAAAUUGAGAUUUUAACUCAUGACCAUGAGAUACCGUUCUGAUCAUACGUGAGGGAAUAAUGUAUAUUCAGUGAUACACUUAAACCAUUGGGAAGUAAAUUUCUUUUCUUCUUUCUUUUUUUUUUUUGAAUUGAUAGGUCACACAACAAAAAUGAAGUUCAGGUAACCUUUCUACUAGUGAGGGUACUAUGGAAAAGUCGCUCAAUGGAGUAUACAAUGUGCGAAACAGAAAGUUAUAAACGGAGGCAAUAUCCCAUCUUUAUACCAGUCCAUAAUCUUAUGCAUUUAUUCCAAAGAUUCCAAACACAUGCAGAAUUACACUCUACAAUAUUAGGAGUCGAACCUUUAGGAAGUUAAUCCAAUUCCCAUGGCAUGAUGCAAAAUACAGUUCAGUUGUGAUCUUCUUUACCAAAAAUGAAUUAGAUUAAUAAUUUUCAUCAUAUCCCAAUAGGAUUUCAUAACAGAAGAUACAGUUUGAACUUACAACAAAAUUUUAUUUUAUUUUUUAUUCUUUCCUUGGUACGUCAUAAUAAUUGACGGCGUUAUUUUACCGGAUUGCUUCAUGUAUUCACAUUAGAUAAGUAAUUCAACAACAGGAAGCAAAAAGGUUCUUUUUCUUCUUCAUAGCUCAAGAUUAUUAGAAAGUAAGUAUCUCAAAUUUGUUAAGAAUUUCCAAUCUAGUUUUUCGACAACCAUACGAUUUGAUCUCAAAACAAUAUAUACAAGUCAUAUUAUGCAUAACCGUCAUUACAUAUUAACUCUAAACAUGGAGGAGACAGUUCAUUUUUUUUUUUUUUUUGUGGUCAAAACUAACAAACAAUGUUGCCUCAUAUUAUGUCAGCGUGUAAGUCUAAUGUGCUCCCUUCCUCUUAUGCUCCCUCUUCACCUUUUCAGUUCCUAUUAAUCCACCUAAUUAUAACUUUAGCAGCAAACUAGGAUUUAGUCUGUCAAAGCUUAUUGUCCAACUUUUUGUAUCUCUAUAUAUAAAGCGAAUCUUGUAUGGUUCAGAUACUCUUGGAGACAUUUUAGAUUCCCAUAUCCUCCUAACCUAACUACCGAUUCUCGUUACACAGAAAUAGAUAAGUCCCAUCGACACUAAUUGUUUCCAAAACAUUCUACUCCUAUUCUAAUAGAACAUCAACAUCUAGAGCUGCUACACAUAGAGCAAAACAAACGGUUCAAUUCUAGUAACUCCAAAUAUGACAAUCUAUAACAUAUUAUGAUAACAAGUCAAGUCUCUAAAAGUCAUUAACAUCAUCUUUUCCUACCUAUCCAUUUAUAAUUUCACCAAUUUUUUAUAGAACAUGAAAACAAUAUUCACAGUAGACCCAUCAAGCAAUGAUAAGAGGACAUGCAUACUCUUCAUAAUUAUGCUCAAACAAAUUAAUAAGCUAAUUUUUAGAGAGAAGUCAUCAUAGUUAAAUCGUUUACUUCAUAUUAAAAGAAAUCGAGUAGCAUUUUGCUUACUUGUAUCCUAUAUAGCAACAAGGUCCGAAGUGAUAUGUUUUCUUCUUUCUUUUUCUUAAUUUUGCCACUGAAAUCUUCACACCAAAAUAGUCCCAUAUUUCAAAAUAUAAGAUCAACAAGCAAGUAUAAAUCUUUAACUAUAAUGACACAUGAACUAUCGAUAUUCAGUUCCUUCGUAGGGUACGAAUCUUCUCUUCUUCUUUUUUUUUUUAAUCUUGUUUAAGGGCUUCUAUUCUAGAUAUCCAAUCAUAAAGCCGCGGUGGCCAGUCGCACUUCAAAUUGAAUAUCCGGAGAUAGAUUCCCAAAGUCUUAAGAAUGCAUUUCACAUUUCGCCAUAUACAUUCACAUUUAACAACCAACACAUCACUUAGCAUGCACACAUAUCAAUGCAUUGUAAAUUUAAGCUUAUCAUCUUAAAUAGCACAAUAAAAUCGACCAUCACAUUCUGCUCUCCUAUUUCCAUACCAAAUGUUCCUAAAAUAGAACACAUAUGAAAUUCAGGCAAUUUAAAAA